CAAUGAAGUAACGCAAUCCAAUUAGUUGGUAAAAUUGUGUUGUUAUGCCGUUUAUUUUAUUUGUACAAUUCAUUCAAGACAUUAUUCCGUUCAAAACCUAUAAGUAAGAGCUGCUUUUCGAACAUAGCUAAGUUUCGUCAUUAGUCAUUGCUAAACUGCUCUUCACUUCUUGUCUCGUUUUUUCUGUUUCACCAGACGUUCAACAACUCAAAGCAUCAUGAACACUUUUAAGAUGUCUAUCAUUCUCAUCGUGUCUCUCUGUCUCCUGAUGAGCAUAGGACACUCUGAAGCACAGUCGACCUCAGCUGAGUCGACCUCAGCUGAGUCUGUGGCCUCAGCUGAGUCGACCUCAGCAGAGUCUGCCGCCUCAGCAGAGUCUGCCGCCUCAGCAGCAUCUGUCGCCUCAGCAGCGUCUGCUGACUCCGGUCGCAAGAAGCGAUCUGAAUCAGACUCCGACUCGGCAGAAGCGAUCUAGUUCAGAGGAGGAGUCUGAUGGCGCUGCCUCAUCACAAUCUGCUUCUUCCAAGUAUGAACCAAGUCCGACUACGGACGUUCUGUGGCGACGUCUAGACGAUGAUUUAUGAUUCAAAUUCAACAGAUUACAAGUAGAUGUUAAACAACUCUUUGUGUGUCACUCUCAUAAUAUCCAUGUUCUAUACUUUAAAUCUGGACGUGUAAUUUUAUCUUUCGUUAAUUUGACUAUUUCAAGUGCAAAUUAUAAAAAAAAAAACAUAUAUGUCAUAAAGCAGUUGGUCUUGUAUUCAAUUAUGGCUGGAAAUUGGUCAUUAUGCAAGGCUUUUGUAAGACAGUUCAGAUCACACUUUCUUCCCGAUUAGCACUCGAGGCACACACGUGAGUGUGUCGAUCAGCACUCUUGGCAGAUGAAAGGUUAUUCAAUACGAUUAUUGACAUAAUUCUAUUUAUAUCUAGCUAUAGACAGAUAAUGACAUAUUAUAACUACUAAUUUCACUGUAAAAUUAUAUUAUUAUUCAAAUUAAACAGUUAAAAUGUGUGUAAUCUGAAUUGGCAGUGCCUUCUUUACAUGUUAACGAUUGAUUUUUCUUAUACAAAUAAUUACAGUGCAGAAUUUUUAAUGUGUUUUUAAAAAUUCUAGAUAGAUUUGUCUUUACAUGUUAUCAGGAUACUACAUGGUCGACUGUUUUCCCAAUCAAAUCAUAUUCGGUUUAAGUGUUCUUUGUUUUUUAUGUAAGCACAGACAUUCGAAAGUAAUAGUGUUGCAGAAUGCUUUCUGCUUUCCUCUUCUUUUCCCCUUUUUCUCAUUUUUCCUUUCCUGUUUUACAUUCCCUUCUUUAUCAUCAUUGAUCUGUUGUUAAUGUUCCCUGCUCUUAAAAUACAAUACAAAUGUGUGUAUCAUAAUCAUGAUUAAAUCGAAGCUCAAAACCACA
Molecule: long non-coding RNA, 1406 nt
Filed under: Strongylocentrotus purpuratus (purple sea urchin)
Lineage: Eukaryota; Metazoa; Echinodermata; Echinoidea; Camarodonta; Strongylocentrotidae
Description: uncharacterized LOC754404, transcript variant X2
Source: RNAcentral